GCGAUGGGGGUCCUAAGCCACGGGAGGAAGAGGGACUGGCUCUCAGUCCCCGCCUCGCGGGGUGUGCCUCCCCCGUGUGAUGGGGAUCCUCAGAGAGACCGAGAGGUUGAUGUCACUCCCAAUAUCGGAGGAAGUAUACACCCCCGUGUGAGAUGGUCCUUAAUAAUAUUCCACGGCGGAGGGGGUGAUAUGACUACAUACAUGGCAGAAAGUGGAAACCUCCCAGGGAUAUUGUUCCCACGAUCCUGGAGGGAAGAAGAUGAUGUUACUUUCAAUAUGACAGAAGGUGGAUGAAGUGGUGGACUGCCCCUCCACACCUGUGGACACGCCCCCACUGAUAUUCCUUCUAAUUGCAGCGUGGGAGAGGAGGAUAUGACACGCGAUAUCGCAGGGAGUAGAAACACCCCUGUGAUACUGUUCUUAAUAUUCAGGGAGGAAGAGGAUGAUAUUACUCCCAAUACAGACGGGUGUACACCCUCUGUACACCGAGGGUGUACACCUGUCUGUGAAAGAAUGGACACGCCCCCACUGAUAUUGUUUUUAAUGCAGCGUGGGAGGGGAGGAUAUGACACGCGAUAUCGCAGCUGAGUGCCACGUGCUGACGUCACUAAGAUCAAUACAGCAAACUCUGAAAGAUGGACAGAGAGACAGGAGAUGGUCCUUUAUAAUGCAGUGUGAUCUGUGCUGCAAUAGAGUUUUGGAAGCUAGAAGUUCAAAACGAGGUGUUGGCAGCACCAUGCUCUCUCUGAAGAUGCUAGGAAGAAUCUGCUCCAUGCCUUUCCAUUCGCUCCUGGGGUUUCCUGCAAGCCCUGACAUUCCUUGGCUUGUAGAUGCAUCACCCCAGUUUCCGCCCCCAUCAUCACAUGGCCUCCUCUCUGUGUGUGCCUCUGCGUUCCCUCUAUUCUUCUUCUAAGGACACCGACACCAGUCAUAGUGGAUUAAGGGUCCACUCCUAACCAAUUACAUCUGCAACAACCCUAUUUCCAAAUAAAGUCACAUUCUAAGA
Molecule: long non-coding RNA, 1006 nt
Filed under: Homo sapiens (human)
Lineage: Eukaryota; Metazoa; Chordata; Mammalia; Primates; Hominidae
Description: HSALNT0352581
Source: RNAcentral